CAAUACAUACCGUGAUUUGCGGGGUGCCCGUCGUUUUCAGACCUUUCUUGUGGGGCCUAUAUUUAAUAUGGGAUCUAUAUAAGAACCCGCAAAAUAUGUGCGCCUUAAAUGUGUUAACUUUCAUACUGGAAGCAUCCUAUAGCAAUUACGCGCAAGUCGGUCUUAAAUUGAAAUUAAAAUAGAGUUGUCUCCCCUACUCCAGGUCAGUAAAGAACCCAUCUCUACAUCAUCUAGACGCUUGCAUAGAACCCGCAAUUUUAUGUAUGCCCCGCAGUUAAAGCGCGUGAAGUGAUAUAGAACACGAAGAUCAGAAAAUGGCGGCAGUUAACGGGUGUUACAUGUGAUAUUGAAAAUUAAUAGAUCUACAGUACUCAGUAAUGAUGUAUUUCAAGGAAAUGAGACCAAGAAGAAAGAAACAGGAGAAUGUGGCAGCAGACUGCAUUGAUUCAGGGGAGGACCUCAAAGAUUUUGUUAUUGAACAUAUACCACCAAAAGGUCUUGGUGUUAGAACAACAAUAA
Long non-coding RNA from Dreissena polymorpha, 519 nucleotides. RefSeq lists it as uncharacterized. The record is from RefSeq and is a predicted model, not a curated record. The transcript has 3 exons. NCBI's taxonomy places the organism in Eukaryota, Metazoa, Mollusca, Bivalvia, Myida, Dreissenidae.